Long non-coding RNA from Rhinopithecus roxellana (golden snub-nosed monkey), 1697 nucleotides. RefSeq lists it as uncharacterized. The record is from RefSeq and is a predicted model, not a curated record. The transcript has 4 exons. NCBI's taxonomy places the organism in Eukaryota, Metazoa, Chordata, Mammalia, Primates, Cercopithecidae.
GGCAGAAGAGGAGAUGAGGGAGGUUCGGUGCCCAGCCCAGGGCUGCCAUCCGUGACCCGAGGCUAAGGAGUCCCAGAGGCAGGCUCUCUUCCUGUGCAUCUCAGCUGCAUCCCAGCUUCCCUGUCCCACGGCCCACGAGGACAACCGUAAUCACAAACACCGCCCACAGCAGGCAGGUCAGGUGAUGGGCGGCUCCUCUUCCACCCCUGGGGCCUUUCUGGACUGUCCUCACUAGUAAAACAUGGGGCCCAAGUUCCCAGGGACCCCAUGGCCAGAGAUGCUGGGGAGGCCAGAGAAGGUGGGCAGAGGUGGCAGAGAUGAAAAGUCCGGGGGCAAGAGGGGGGAGAAUUUGCCAUGCAGUGGCUAGCCAGAGUGUCUGCUGUCAGUGAGCUGCACCGAUCUACAGCUCCCCGGGAUGACCCCAGACCCCAGGCAGGGGAUCAGAUGUUUCUGUUCUCAGCUGUGUCCCUGCAGACUCGCGGCCCUCCCAGGAGACACCCACCCUGAGACCCACCCCGGCCCUCGUCCUGCCUGGGCCACCCCAAUGGUCAGGACUUGGGUUAGGAGCCCUAUCCCUCAGUCCCCAGCGAGCCUGUUCAUUCCCCAAGCCUGGCCUACGGUUCUCCCUAGGCUGACCCCAGCCAGCUUCCUCUUGAGCUCACAGUUCAGAGAUCCUAGUUUGGCCUUCCCAGAGCUUACAGCCCCAGGAUCGCAGCAGAGAGAUCACAGCAGAGCAGCCACGGGGCACCUGCCCCACGCUCACAGCCCAGGCCCUGGGAGGACGAUGGAAAGAAGCCUUGGAGCCUGGUCAGAAGGACCUGCCUGGAACCCCACCAUUCACCCGGCCUCCUGGGGUAAAGGUCUGGAACCCCACCAUUCACCUGGCCUCCUUGGGUAAAGGCAGUGCUAGAUUACAGCUGUUGCGGAGAGAUCAGAUUCCCCAAACAUGCUUCAAAGGAAAAAAGAGUCAAGGGGUCAAAUACAGUUUCAAAUGCUGUGAAAAGCACGUUAAAGGCUCCGAGAAGACCACAUGGAAGGACCCCUUUCAGCGUCACUUAAUUCCCACGCCUAUUCCGCAAAGCCGUGAAGGUCUACUGUUUCACAGAACAUUCUCCAGGGAUCGGAUUCAAAUCAUGGGAUCCUGGACCCACCACAUGGUCACGGUGCAGCCUGAGCAGCGAGUGAAGCUCGCCAGACCUCUGGAAAGCAGGGCCAGUGAAGGUGCCCAGCCCUGGGGCUGCAGGGACCCCCUGGGCCCUGACCCGACUUUAGGGUUCUUCACCACCUAAAAGACGACACUGUAUCAACUUGGUGACAUAGUAUCUUCGUCCCUGCCAGAAGGGCCUGGGGGCUAGACUACACUUGCGCUUUCUCUGGAGCUUUCUCUGCUUCCGGGAGCCAAGGAUGCAGCCAGACAGGGCCCAGCAGGAGCCCAGGGACCAAGCAGGCCUCGCUGUGUCCCCUGAACAGCCCGGCUUGGCCAAGCCUCUGGAGGGGGAGCUGCUUCCCUCAGCAUGGCCACACGCCCUGUCUGCCUCCAUCUCCAGCCGGUCACCACCCAGCCCAGUCCUCCAGCCCUCCUGGUCCUCCCAGCAGCCUCCUGACUCCCGGUUAAUAUUCUGUCCUCCUCCUCCAGACACAGCCCACCAUGGAGACGGUGGCCAGGUGCCACUCCACCCAGGCACCACUUACCUGGG